UGCACCGGUGAUUAGUGGCGAACGGGUGAGUAACACGUGAGUAACCUGCCCUUGACUCUGGGAUAAGCCUGGGAAACUGGGUCUAAUACCGGAUAUGACUCCUCAUCGCAUGGUGGGGGGUGGAAAGCUUUUUGUGGUUUUGGAUGGACUCGCGGCCUAUCAGCUUGUUGGUGAGGUAAUGGCUCACCAAGGCGACGACGGGUAGCCGGCCUGAGAGGGUGACCGGCCACACUGGGACUGAGACACGGCCCAGACUCCUACGGGAGGCAGCAGUGGGGAAUAUUGCACAAUGGGCGAAAGCCUGAUGCAGCGACGCCGCGUGAGGGAUGACGGCCUUCGGGUUGUAAACCUCUUUCAGUAGGGAAGAAGCGAAAGUGACGGUACCUGCAGAAGAAGCGCCGGCUAACUACGUGCCAGCAGCCGCGGUAAUACGUAGGGCGCAAGCGUUAUCCGGAAUUAUUGGGCGUAAAGAGCUCGUAGGCGGUUUGUCGCGUCUGCCGUGAAAGUCCGGGGCUCAACUCCGGAUCUGCGGUGGGUACGGGCAGACUAGAGUGAUGUAGGGGAGACUGGAAUUCCUGGUGUAGCGGUGAAAUGCGCAGAUAUCAGGAGGAACACCGAUGGCGAAGGCAGGUCUCUGGGCAUUAACUGACGCUGAGGAGCGAAAGCAUGGGGAGCGAACAGGAUUAGAUACCCUGGUAGUCCAUGCCGUAAACGUUGGGCACUAGGUGUGGGGGACAUUCCACGUUUUCCGCGCCGUAGCUAACGCAUUAAGUGCCCCGCCUGGGGAGUACGGCCGCAAGGCUAAAACUCAAAGGAAUUGACGGGGGCCCGCACAAGCGGCGGAGCAUGCGGAUUAAUUCGAUGCAACGCGAAGAACCUUACCAAGGCUUGACAUGAACCGGAAACGUCUGGAAACAGGCGCCCCACUUGUGGUCGGUUUACAGGUGGUGCAUGGUUGUCGUCAGCUCGUGUCGUGAGAUGUUGGGUUAAGUCCCGCAACGAGCGCAACCCUCGUUCCAUGUUGCCAGCGCGUAAUGGCGGGGACUCAUGGGAGACUGCCGGGGUCAACUCGGAGGAAGGUGGGGACGACGUCAAAUCAUCAUGCCCCUUAUGUCUUGGGCUUCACGCAUGCUACAAUGGCCGGUACAAAGGGUUGCGAUACUGUGAGGUGGAGCUAAUCCCAAAAAGCCGGUCUCAGUUCGGAUUGGGGUCUGCUACUCGA
This 1222-nucleotide ribosomal RNA is filed under the name Arthrobacter sp. SLM12. RNAcentral's name for it is "bacterial SSU rRNA". It matches the Rfam family "Bacterial small subunit ribosomal RNA", at positions 81 to 1315 of the family's 1533-position model. The record is from RNAcentral. Lineage: Bacteria; Bacillati; Actinomycetota; Actinomycetes; Micrococcales; Micrococcaceae.